ACAGAGUUUCAAAACUGGAUAUCCUGACGAUAGCACCAAGGCUUCCGAAAGAAACCAAAGACCAAAUGAGAGACAAAAUAGAGAAAGAGAUGAGAUGGAUGGUUGGCUGGGUGAAUGAUCAGAUAAUAAAUGCCUUCCUGUAUGUGCUGUGUCAAGGACGAGAGUGUAAGGAACGAAAUGUAGCUUUAUCAACUCAGGUUAUAGAGGGAUGGCGAAAUUUCAAGUCGGGAAGGAGUCACAGAGUGGCACUUCUACAAAAUGAAUAACUCUCAGACGCAGAAAAAGUGUUUAUACCGAUUCAUAGACAGGGCAGCCAUUGGACAUUGUUGGUUUUGGAUGUACAAACCAAACAAAUGCGUUUCUAUGACCCCAUGAACCGGACAUUUGAUGAAGAGGUGGUC
Molecule: long non-coding RNA, 401 nt
Organism: Haliotis rubra (blacklip abalone)
Lineage: Eukaryota; Metazoa; Mollusca; Gastropoda; Lepetellida; Haliotidae
Exons: 5
Source: RefSeq, a predicted model, not a curated record